GACGAACGCUGGCGGCGUGCUUAACACAUGCAAGUCGAGCGGUAAGGCCCCUUCGGGGGUACACGAGCGGCGAACGGGUGAGUAACACGUGGGUGACCUGCCCUCAGCUCUGGGAUAAGCCUGGGAAACUGGGUCUAAUACCGGAUAUGACUCCAUGACGCAUGUCGUGGGGUGGAAAGCCUUGUGCGGCUGGGGAUGGGCCCGCGGCCUAUCAACUUGUUGGUGGGGUGANGGCCUACCAAGGCGACGACGGGUAGCCGGCCUGAGAGGCGACCGGCCACACUGGGACUGAGACACGGCCCAGACUCCUACGGGAGGCAGCAGUGGGGAAUCUUGCGCAAUGGGCGAAAGCCUGACGCAGCGACGCCGCGUGAGGGAUGACGGCCU
RNAcentral lists this ribosomal RNA (387 nucleotides) under uncultured bacterium. RNAcentral describes it as "bacterial SSU rRNA". It matches the Rfam family "Bacterial small subunit ribosomal RNA", at positions 28 to 417 of the family's 1533-position model. The record is from RNAcentral.